GAUGACUUAGCUCAGUUGGCAGAGCACUUGCCUACUGGGCAUGAGGCCCUGGGUUCAGUCCCCAGUAUCA
RNAcentral lists this transfer RNA (70 nucleotides) under Mesocricetus auratus (golden hamster). It matches the Rfam family "tRNA". Rfam says of the family: Transfer RNA (tRNA) molecules are approximately 80 nucleotides in length. Their secondary structure includes four short double-helical elements and three loops (D, anti-codon, and T loops). Further hydrogen bonds mediate the characteristic L-shaped molecular structure. tRNAs have two regions of fundamental functional importance: the anti-codon, which is responsible for specific mRNA codon recognition, and the 3' end, to which the tRNAs corresponding amino acid is attached (by aminoacyl-tRNA synthetases). tRNAs cope with the degeneracy of the genetic code in two manners: having more than one tRNA (with a specific anti-codon) for a particular amino acid; and 'wobble' base-pairing, i.e. permitting non-standard base-pairing at the 3rd anti-codon position. Lineage: Eukaryota; Metazoa; Chordata; Mammalia; Rodentia; Cricetidae. The record is from Rfam by way of RNAcentral.